This 500-nucleotide ribosomal RNA is filed under the name uncultured bacterium. RNAcentral's name for it is "partial 16S ribosomal RNA". It matches the Rfam family "Bacterial small subunit ribosomal RNA", at positions 30 to 523 of the family's 1533-position model. The record is from RNAcentral.
AUUGAACGCUGGCGGAAUGCUUUACACAUGCAAGUCGAACGGCAGCACGGACUUCGGUCUGGUGGCGAGUGGCGAACGGGUGAGUAAUAUAUCGGAACGUGCCCAGUCGUGGGGGAUAACGUAGCGAAAGUUACGCUAAUACCGCAUACGAUCUACGGAUGAAAGCGGGGGAUCGCAAGACCUCGCGCGAUUGGAGCGGCCGAUAUCAGAUUAGGUAGUUGGUGGGGUAAAGGCUCACCAAGCCAACGAUCUGUAGCUGUUCUGAGAGGACGACCAGCCACACGGGAACUGCGACACGUUCAAGACUCCUCCGGGAGGCAGCGGUGGGCAAUUUUGAACAAUGGACGAAAGUCUGACCCAGCAAUCCGGCGUGCAGGAUGAAGGCCCUCGGGUUGUAAACUGCUUUUGUACAGAACAAAAAGGCUCUUCCUAAUACGGAGGGCUCAUGACGGUACUGUAAGAAUAAGCACCGGAUAACUAGGUCCCAGCAGCCGCCGUAA